CACGUAGGGUGCGAGCGUUGUCCGGAAUUAUUGGGCGUAAAGAGCUCGUAGGCGGUGUGUCGCGUCGGCCGUGAAAACCUGCAGCUUAACUGUGGGCGUGCGGUCGAUACGGGCAUCACUGGAGUUCGGCAGGGGAGACUGGAAUUCCUGGUGUAGCGGUGAAAUGCGUAGAUAUCAGGAGGAACACCGAUGGCGAAGGCAGGUCUCUGGGCUGACACUGACGCUCAUGCACGAAAGCGUGGGGAGCAAACAGG
RNAcentral lists this ribosomal RNA (254 nucleotides) under uncultured bacterium. Its description in RNAcentral is "partial 16S ribosomal RNA". It matches the Rfam family "Bacterial small subunit ribosomal RNA", at positions 524 to 776 of the family's 1533-position model. The record is from RNAcentral.